This 1501-nucleotide long non-coding RNA is filed under the name Phascolarctos cinereus (koala). RNAcentral describes it as "lncRNA (ENSPCIG00000033429.1)". Lineage: Eukaryota; Metazoa; Chordata; Mammalia; Diprotodontia; Phascolarctidae. The record is from RNAcentral.
GGGGAGACCUGAGAAGAGGGACCUCAACCGAAUAAAUCAAUGAGUAUGCUGGCCCAGGCAGUCUGAGCGCUUGUGAUUCCUGAUGGCUGCUUCUAGCUUUAUCUCCUUGGCUGGGAUGCUUCGUUCUCUUGGUUUGAGACCACUUCUGCCCCAGGCAUGAACGGGGAGGUCUCUAAGGUGGAAGGCAAUCGUGUGGAUGGGUGGGUGGUUUAUGGUACCUGCUUCUUUCUGGGGAAGUGGUGGCAUUGAUAUGGAGGGAGAGGAAAUAACUAGAAUCUGAUUUCUAGUGGAGCGGUGUGACCUUUUCAUUGCCUGCUAGAUCAAAAGAGGAGAGUGGUAGCCCCUGGGCUGGUGGGCUGGCCUUCCUCAUUUUGGCUCCUUUUCCCUUCUUCCUUCCCCCUUCCCUCUUCUCUCUCCUCUCCCUUCUUCCCCCCUCUCUAUCUCUCUCCCUCUCUCCUCCCCUCUCUCUUUUUCUUCUUUCCCUUCUUCCCCCCCUAUCCCUCUCCUCACUUCCUCUCUCCUCUCUUCUCUCCUCUCUCUCCCCACCUCCUUCCUGUCUCUUCUCUCCUCUCUCUCUCCUUCUCUCCACUUCCUUCCUCUCUCCUCUCUUGUCUCCUUUCUCUCCCUCUCCCCACCUCCUUCCUCUCUCUUCUCUCCUCUCCCCACCUCCUUCCUCUCUCCUCUUUCUCUUCUUUCCCUUCUUCCCCCCUCUCUAUCCCUCUCCCCACUUCUUCCUCUCUCCCUCUCCCCACCUCCUUCCUCUCUCCUCUUUCUCUUCUUUCCCUUCUUCCCCCCUCUCUAUCCCUCUCCCCACUCCUUCCUCUCUCUCUCUCCCCACCUCCUUCCUCUCUCUUCUCUCCUCUCUCUCUCCCUCUCUCCUCUCCUCUCUCUUUCUCUUCUUUCCCUUCUUCCCCCUCUCUAUCCUCUCCCCACUCCUUCUCUCUCUCUCCCCACUCCUUCCUCUCUCUCUCUUCCUCUCUCUCUCCCUCUCUCCUCUCUCUCUCUUUCUCUUCUUUCCCUUCUUCCCCCCUCUCUAUCCCUCUCCUCACCUCCUCCCUCUCUCCUCUCUUCUCUCUCCCUCUCUCCACUUCCUUCCUCUCUCCUCUCUUCUCUCCUCUCUCUCCCUCUCCCCACCUCCUUCCUCUCUCUUCUCUCCUCUCCCCACCUCCUUCCUAUCUCCUCUCUUCUCUUCUCUUUCUCCCUCUCUCUUCUCUCCUCUCCCACCUCCUUCCUAUCUCCUCUCCCCACCUCCUUCCUAUCUCCUCUCUUCUCUUCUCUUUCUCCCUCUCCCCACCUCCUUCCUUUCUCCUCUCUCUCUUCUUUCUCUUCUUCCUCCCUCUCUCUCCCUCUCCCCACCUCCUUCCUCUGUCCUCUCUUCUCGCUCAAGCUGGUGGGAGCUACAUUCUGGCUCACCACAACCAGGACUUCUGUUCUCCUGGGCAUCGAGUUGGGGAGCAGGGGCCCGGUGCCGAGCAUCUGUGAGCCUCUGGGGGUCCACCUC